Long non-coding RNA from Oreochromis aureus, 426 nucleotides. RefSeq lists it as uncharacterized. NCBI's taxonomy places the organism in Eukaryota, Metazoa, Chordata, Actinopteri, Cichliformes, Cichlidae. The record is from RefSeq and is a predicted model, not a curated record. The transcript has 3 exons.
GAUCAGCGACAGUUGCUUUUUCAUUAAGCGGGAGUAAAGUAGUAAACUUACAGGAACAUAUACCACUACCAACGUUUGGAUCGAUAUCUGCAUCGAUCUGCACACCCUUGUCUCCUGGAUCGUUGCUCAGAUCAGCGUGAACCACGUGGGUCUCUGCUCCCUGAUCUGUUUCUUAAGACUUUCAGCUUCAUCGCGGAGUUUCUCUCGGUUUGUGGGCUCAUCUAAAGGGGUAAACUACGUCUAUAUACUUUUUGUGUCCCAGCUGAGUAACAGCAGAAGAGUCUGGUGGAGCAACAGAGGAACAAUUUCAGCCAUUUGGACUCAGCUCAGCCACUACAGAGGAAACAAUGUCUUUAACACAAAAGGACCAACAUGAGGCAAAAAGUCAGCGCUCUCAGGAGGCCAAAAAACCUCACAGAAGAAAGG